Molecule: transfer RNA, 59 nt
Filed under: Aegilops biuncialis
Lineage: Eukaryota; Viridiplantae; Streptophyta; Magnoliopsida; Poales; Poaceae
Description: partial tRNA-Ser
Source: RNAcentral
GGAGAGAUGGCCGAGCGGUUCAAGGCGUAGCAUUGGAACUGCUAUGUAGACUUUUGUUU